UCUGGUGUUGAAGGCCCUGCAAAGCAGCAUCGCGGUGGCGGAGCGUCGUUUGCGACGCCCAACACACAAAACAAGCGGUGAGUGCUUUGGGGUGGGGUGACUGCGUACCUUUUGUAUAAUGGGUCAGCGACUUAUAUUCUGUAGCAAGGUUAACCGUAUAGGGGAGCCGAAGGGAAACCGAGUCUUAACUGGGCGUUAAGUUGCAGGGUAUAGACCCGAAACCCGGUGAUCUAGCCAUGGGCAGGUUGAAGGUUGGGUAACACUAACUGGAGGACCGAACCGACUAAUGUUGAAAAAUUAGCGGAUGACUUGUGGCUGGGGGUGAAAGGCCAAUCAAACCGGGAGAUAGCUGGUUCUCCCCGAAAGCUAUUUAGGUAGCGCCUCGUGAACUCAUCUUCGGGGGUAGAGCACUGUUUCGGCUAGGGGGUCAUCCCGACUUACCAACCCGAUGCAAACUGCGAAUACCGAAGAAUGUUAUCACGGGAGACACACGGCGGGUGCUAACGUCCGUCGUGAAGAGGGAAACAACCCAGACCGCCAGCUAAGGUCCCAAAGUCACAGUUAAGUGGGAAACGAUGUGGGAAGGCUCAGACAGCCAGGAUGUUGGCUUAGAAGCAGCCAUCAUUUAAAGAAAGCGUAAUAGCUCACUGGUCGAGUCGGCCUGCGCGGAAGAUGUAACGGGGCUAAACUGUGCACCGAAGCUGCGGCAGCGACGCUUAUGCGUUGUUGGGUAGGGGAGCGUUCUGUAAGCCUGCGAAGGUGUCCUGUGAGGGAUGCUGGAGGUAUCAGAAGUGCGAAUGCUGACAUAAGUAACGAUAA
Molecule: ribosomal RNA, 819 nt
Filed under: Salmonella enterica subsp. enterica serovar Kentucky
Lineage: Bacteria; Pseudomonadati; Pseudomonadota; Gammaproteobacteria; Enterobacterales; Enterobacteriaceae
Description: partial 23S ribosomal RNA
Rfam family: Bacterial large subunit ribosomal RNA
Source: RNAcentral